This is a long non-coding RNA of Rhodamnia argentea, 262 nucleotides long. RefSeq lists it as uncharacterized. The record is from RefSeq and is a predicted model, not a curated record. NCBI's taxonomy places the organism in Eukaryota, Viridiplantae, Streptophyta, Magnoliopsida, Myrtales, Myrtaceae. The transcript has 2 exons.
AUACCUAUGUUCGGUACUAAAUCUCUGUAUUUAACUGAUACUUCAAAGAAGAUGCAGACCUUGGUGUGGAUGGUAUUUGAAUUGGUAGUGGAGAAUAUUUGGGUCGAGCUGUGUGCUCAGAUUAUCACCACAGGUCGAUUAAAUAUUAGGGUUAUUUGCUCUGCUUCUUACGUGCAAAUAAUGGCGAAGUUUGAGGGAUGACUUGCUGACUAAGGAACAUGGCUGCAAAUCUAUGAAAAAUUACUUGAAGUAUCUUCCCCUU